GCCCGGCUUGCUCAGUUGAUAGAGCAGGAGACUCUUAAUCUCAGGGUCCUUGGUUCAAGCCCCAUGUUGGGUA
This 73-nucleotide transfer RNA is filed under the name Mesocricetus auratus (golden hamster). It matches the Rfam family "tRNA". From Rfam's summary of the family: Transfer RNA (tRNA) molecules are approximately 80 nucleotides in length. Their secondary structure includes four short double-helical elements and three loops (D, anti-codon, and T loops). Lineage: Eukaryota; Metazoa; Chordata; Mammalia; Rodentia; Cricetidae. The record is from Rfam by way of RNAcentral.